This 424-nucleotide ribosomal RNA is filed under the name uncultured bacterium. RNAcentral describes it as "bacterial SSU rRNA". It matches the Rfam family "Bacterial small subunit ribosomal RNA", at positions 354 to 776 of the family's 1533-position model. The record is from RNAcentral.
GUGAGGAAUAUUGGUCAAUGGUCGGGAGACUGAACCAGCCAAGCCGCGUGAGGGAUGGAGGUACAGAGUAUCGUAAACCUCUUUUGUCAGGGAACAAAGGGCGCCACGUGUGGCGCUAUGAGGGUACCUGAAGAAAAAGCAUCGGCUAACUCCGUGCCAGCAGCCGCGGUAAUACGGAGGAUGCGAGCGUUAUCCGGAUUUAUUGGGUUUAAAGGGUGCGUAGGCGGCGUCCUAAGUCAGCGGUAAAAGCCCGGGGCUCAACCCCGGCGAGCCGUUGAUACUGGGGUGCUCGAGUUGGAGAGAAGUAUGCGGAAUGCGCGGUGUAGCGGUGAAAUGCAUAGAUAUCGCGCAGAACUCCGAUUGCGAAGGCAGCAUGCCGGCUCCACACUGACGCUGAGGCACGAAAGCGUGGGUAUCGAACAGG